Molecule: ribosomal RNA, 479 nt
Filed under: Amazophrynella manaos
Lineage: Eukaryota; Metazoa; Chordata; Amphibia; Anura; Bufonidae
Description: partial 16S ribosomal RNA
Rfam family: Bacterial large subunit ribosomal RNA
Source: RNAcentral
UCAACGGCCGCGGUAUCCUAACCGUGCGAAGGUACCCUAAUCACUUGUUCUCUAAAUCAGGACUAGUAUGAACGGCACCACGAGGGUUACACUGUCUCCUUUUUCCAAUUAGUGAAAUUAAUUUUCCCGUGAAGAAGCGGGAAUAAACCUAUAAGACGAGAAGACCCUAUGGAGCUUUAAACAAUCUAGCAUUUGCCUAUAUCUUCAUGUUCCAGAACUCUCUAACUUGCACAAUGACUAGGAGUUUUAGGUUGGGGUGACCGCGUAGUAAAACUCAUCCUCCAUAGUGAAUAGAACUCUGAUUCUUAACUAAGAAACACCUAUCUAAGUAUUAAUACACUAACAUUUAUUGACCCAAUACAAUUGAUCAACGAACCAAGUUACCCUAGGGAUAACAGCGCAAUCCAUUUCAAGAGCCCCUAUCGCCAAAUGGGUUUACGACCUCGAUGUUGGAUCAGGACAUCCUAAAUGGUGCAAAA